UACGUAGGGCGCAAGCGUUGUCCGGAAUUAUUGGGCGUAAAGGGCUCGUAGGCGGUUUGUCGCGUCGGGAGUGAAAACCAGGUGCUUAACACCUGGCUUGCUUUCGAUACGGGCAGACUAGGGGUAUGCAGGGGAGAACGGAAUUCCUGGUGUAGCGGUGAAAUGCGCAGAUAUCAGGAGGAACACCGGUGGCGAAGGCGGUUCUCUGGGCAUGACCUGACGCUGAGGAGCGAAAGUGUGGGGAGCGAACAGG
This 253-nucleotide ribosomal RNA is filed under the name uncultured bacterium. RNAcentral's name for it is "partial 16S ribosomal RNA". It matches the Rfam family "Bacterial small subunit ribosomal RNA", at positions 524 to 776 of the family's 1533-position model. The record is from RNAcentral.